UUUAUACUAAGUGAUCCAUAGGUUGAGGAGGCGGUGACCGUGGCGGUGGAGGAGGAGGAUGAGGUAGCCAACACUGUUUUUUAUAAAUAUAUAUAUUUUUUAAUUGGAGUAGCCCACAAAAUAUUGGGACAUAUAAAAAAAGACAACUCUGUUCGGCAGAGUAGCUGUUGACAUUAUAGUUGCGCAGGUACUUUGUUGACUCUAGAGAACCUCGGGCCAAUCGCACAUUCCCGUGGCACGACUUUGCAUGCGGAUGUCAUCCAUAUCAACUUUCGAUGCCAGUUUCUGAGCCUACCAUGGUGACCACGGGUAAUGGGGAAUCAGGGUUCCAUUCCGUACAGGAACCCUGAGAAACGGCUACCACAUGCAGGCGCGUAAAUGACCCACUCCCAAUGCGGAAAGGUAGUGAUGACAAAUAACAAUACAGGACUCUUUAGAGGCCCUGUAAUUGUAAUGAGUCCACUUGAAAUCCUUUAACUCUGAUCAAUUGGAGGGAAGUCUGGUGCAGAGCCACUGACCCGUGUGUGCUACAGCUGAAACUCCACUA
Pelobates cultripes (western spadefoot toad) is the source of this 547-nucleotide non-coding RNA. The record is from the annotation of a GenBank genome assembly. NCBI's taxonomy places the organism in Eukaryota, Metazoa, Chordata, Amphibia, Anura, Pelobatidae.